Molecule: ribosomal RNA, 413 nt
Filed under: uncultured bacterium
Lineage: Bacteria
Description: bacterial SSU rRNA
Rfam family: Bacterial small subunit ribosomal RNA
Source: RNAcentral
GGAAUAUUGCGCAAUGGGCGACAGCCUGACGCAGCGACGCCGCGUGGGGGAUGAAGGUCUUCGGAUUGUAAACCCCUUUCGGGAGGGAAGAUGGAACGGGCAACCGUUCGGACGGUACCUCCAGAAGCAGCCACGGCUAACUUCGUGCCAGCAGCCGCGGUAAUACGAAGGUGGCAAGCGUUGUUCGGAUUCACUGGGCGUACAGGGAGCGUAGGCGGUUGGGUAAGCCCUCCGUGAAAUCUCCGGGCCUAACCCGGAAAGUGCAGAGGGAACUGCUCAGCUAGAGGAUGGGAGAGGAGCGCGGAAUUCCCGGUGUAGCGGUGAAAUGCGUAGAGAUCGGGAGGAAGGCCGGUGGCGAAGGCGACUUCCUGGCCUGUUCUUGACGCUGAGGCGCGAAAGCUAGGGGAGCAAAC